Molecule: ribosomal RNA, 828 nt
Filed under: Triticum aestivum (bread wheat)
Lineage: Eukaryota; Viridiplantae; Streptophyta; Magnoliopsida; Poales; Poaceae
Description: partial small subunit ribosomal RNA
Source: RNAcentral
AUGAUCGACGUUGAGGUCGACGUCGAGCUGGUCCCAGCUCUACAGGCUGUACCAGUGGAAGGCGAUAUGCCUGACGACGCAGUCCUUGUGUUUGAGCCGGAUGAUGUACUUCUUGUGGACAUACCCGUGGAUGUCGAGGGGGUUCAAGUUGUGGAGGUGGCGCACCUGGAUGGUGGAAAUGGUGAUCAGCAGCAAGCCAACGAAGACGAAGACGAAGCCGAAGGCAUCGAAGAAGAGCUGAUUGAAGCUGCGAACAACUUCGAGAUACACGCUUUCAUCAACCGUCCCGCGCCUCCCGGCCGCCAAAUUUGCUGCUGCGAGUGCGGGCCGUGCGGCAUUUCUGAACUUCUGCUGUUCCUUUGGCUAGUCUUUGGUGUGGCAAUACUGCUGUUUCAGGGGCGAUACAAAGGCGAGUCACUUCCGGGCGGAGUGGCGAGCACCAGUUCCUCCAAGAGCACAGCGCUGGUCCCAUUUUAUCAUCUACAUGUUCUGCCUCCGCAGGAGUUUGCUAUCCGUGGGAGAAGCCCAAUGACCUUGACGAGGCGGCUAUGCAUUGCUUCAUCCUCCUCAUACGCCAAGCAACCCUCAAAUGCUUUGUUUCAAGGCAUGGCAAGUACACUGAUGGAGAGUGUGGAGACAAGUGCUUCGAGAGCUUGGUCAGGGAGGCUGUACUUACCUGCUCCGAGGAUCAAAAGAAAACCUAUGAUGGCGUGCCCCCCACCUGAUCUAGGAGAGAGCCCAGGUUGCACGUUCUACGCUAUGGAGUUCACAGAGGAGAGUGCCGAUGAUGCGUACGUGUCGCUGCUAUGGAGUUUAAUGAAGACAUGA